Long non-coding RNA from Cebus imitator (Panamanian white-faced capuchin), 3034 nucleotides. RefSeq lists it as uncharacterized. The record is from RefSeq and is a predicted model, not a curated record. NCBI's taxonomy places the organism in Eukaryota, Metazoa, Chordata, Mammalia, Primates, Cebidae. The transcript is spliced from 3 exons.
CCUGCCUCAGCCUUCCAAAAUGCUGGGAUUACAGGGGUGAGCCACCUGGCCUGCAUCUUCAUUUUUGAUGUGAAGAACAUGGGGAAGGGAAUCUCUCCUAAAUACUAUGGUACCAUUUAGAUUUUGGGUGAGCAAUGAGGAUCAUUGUCAGAUUUAAGAUUUAAAUAAUAGAUCUGACAGGUGAAGGAAUAGCUAACUUCUCUUGCAGAAUCUCUAACCCUUUGAUGACUUACUAACAUGUGAUCUCACUUUUCAUUGGGCCUUUGCCUUGUCCACCACUGAUUUAUCUCUUGUUGACAUACCUGCCCUUACGGUGUUGAGAUUCAUAUACAUGUAUGCAAGCCUCCUCCAUGGGGACAGGUCUCUUUUCCCUCUUGGGGUGGGGUGAAGGCAGACUUAUGAUCUGGCCUCCAUUAGUGUUCUUAAUGCAAUCUCAGUAGUUGGGGAAGCUUCUCUUUGCUUGUGCAGUAUUUCAUUAAAUGUUUGGCCACAGAGCUGAAGUGUGGACACUGGUGAGUGGAGAGGAAACAGUGUGGCCUGGCCUUUGCUUUGGGGCAGGCCUUUCCCUAAUGUCUAGGAAACUAACACUGUGGAUGGCCAAGUGGAUGAGUGGUCUCUGAAAUCAGUGGGGAGUUGCUGCUUCAACAUUGCAACCAAUGAAUGCUGAUGGCCAAACUCACAAUCCACCCUAAUACUAACACAUCACUGGAAAAGGUAAACUGACUAAUUAGGAUGGCUGGGGCACAGGAGAAAUUUUAUAAAUGUUGAUUAAUUUGAGGCUUCCUUCCAAUUCUCUUUGUAACAUCUUGUUGUUUUCUUUACUAGCGAUUUCAGAACAUAAGCUACUCUCCACAGUAAACACAGGCCCAAGAAAACUUGACAGAAAAGGAGUGGAGGAUGUGAACUGGAUAGAUAUGGGAUAAAGUAAUAAAAGGUCAUUAACGUUUAGUCAGUGGUUAAUGUGUGCCAGACACUGUAAUAACUUGCAUAUCUAAUUAACAUAUGUCUAUUGCCAUUUAAUUUUCACAAUAGCAUGAGGCAGAUACUACUUGAUCUCCAUUUUGUACAGGAGAAAACUGAGUCUUAGAGAAGCUUAAUUACUUGCCAAUAUCAUGCAGUUAGUAAGUGUCAGAGCUGGGAUGCAAAUGUAAGUAUGUCUGACUCUGAAUCCCAUGCUUUUUAUACCCAUGAGAUGCUGGGAACUCAGUAGAUAAAGGUGAGAGUGGGUGGUUAUGGAUAGAGAACAGUAGUAUGUUUGAGAAAGAAUAACUGGUCAUUGCAGGGAUGAAGCAACAGAUGUCUCUUCUGGUGACAGUUUGAAACCACAUUGUAAGUAAUUUGUGCUACUAAUAAUUUGUUGUUACUAAUAAUGGAUUAUUUGUGAGUGACUUACAUAAAAAUAAAUCGGAGAAAAUUUAAUGUCACUUUUACCUGGAUUAUGAUGUGUUUCUCUUUAAGUGAGAGGGAAGGAAGUUGAGUUACAGAUAGUUAACUCCCACAUGUAUGUCCUGUACUAGUGAAGUGAUACCAGGUAUAUAUCAACUGUUACGGGAAUGAGGUGCAAAUAAGGUAAGAAUCACUAGACUGAGGAUGUUACGCAUGGCGGAUGUUACAACCCUCAUGAACUUUGCUCUCAAAUCUCUUCUCCUUUGGCUCCUAGGGUCUUUGAAUAGAGGUGAGGGGGGGAUGUUUGUAUCUGGGAGCAAACCUCUAUUAAAUUGGACACAGAGAUCAGAAGCAACCAAGUCAAAGCUGCUUCCCACCAAGCUGUGUGGUCCUGAUUCAUCCCCUGUGACUGGAUGGGGAGCAGGGUGAAGAGGGAUCUUGCUUCCAUUGCAUCUGACACUCUGCCAAUAUUUUAUCACAGGAUUUGCCUCCCCCAUUCAGACCAUGAAUCUACUGAGUGACUGAUAUAUUAGGGUUCAAUAAAUGUUUGCCUUAAUAUACUUGACCUGAAUGGGCUCAUUAAUUUCCCUAGAUUUAAAAAUCAUCCUUUCAUUGAUAUACUUUCUUCCCAAGUUAUGUUAUUUCCCCUUGGCGAUUAUUUACCUCACAUAUUCAUUAAUCUAUCACAGAAAUCUCAAAGUCAAAAUAUAUCUCAAAUUCCUCUAUUUUGCUUCAUUACCUUAGACUGUGCCAGCAUCGUCGGUCACCUGGACAUUACAAUACUCUCCGAAAUGAUGUUUGCAUUCUUUUCCCCCAACAACCCAUUCUCCCAUUCUCUACAUAAUAGUCUUUUUUUCUGGAUCUACACUCUCAUUCACUUCCUACCUCCCUGUAUUAGUUUUAGGCAAAUCCCAGACAUUAAAAUUUUUUUAUCUAGAACUAUUAUACUCAAUAUAUGUGUGUAUGUAUGUAGAUUAUAUAAUGUGCAAUUGUAUAUGUUCAGAAAGGCACAUACGUGUACAGACACAAAUAUACACACUUCUUUUUUGCUAAACAUAACCACAAUAGUGUUAUCAUACUUAAAAAUGUAGUGCUUUAAAAUAUCAAAUAUUUUUGAAUCAGUGUUCAAGUUCUCAAUUACAUCAUAAAUAGCGUAAUUUUGACAGUUUUUAAAAUAUCAAGGUUUGAAUAAGAUCAAUGCAUUGCGAUUCACUAUAUUUCAUAAAUCUAUUUUAAUAUCUAAGUCCCCUCAACAUUUUUUUCCAUUACAAUUUUUUUGUUAAGGAACUGAAUUGUUUCUCCUGAAUGUCUCACAGCCUGGAGUUUGCUUAUCACAUCUCUAUAGCAUACUUUAACAAGUUUCUUUGUCCUCAGUAUUUCUUAUAGAUUGGUUGAUGGCUUUAGUGGCUAGAUUUAGAGACUUGAUUCAGGUUUUAUUAUUUUUUGAGGAGGCGACUACUUCAUAGGUGGCAUUGUAUUUUCCCAUGCUGAUGUCUGGAUAUCCCUCACUUUGUGAUAUUACCAGAUAUUAAUUAGAUGCCUAGAUGCAUUACUUCAUUAGCUGUUAUAAAACAAUGAUAUUCAGAUUUUUUCAUUCUUUCUUUGUGAAUUAGAUGGAUUAUUAUAUAUUUAUAAAGAAAAAUAUCCU